RNAcentral lists this ribosomal RNA (253 nucleotides) under uncultured bacterium. RNAcentral's name for it is "partial 16S ribosomal RNA". It matches the Rfam family "Bacterial small subunit ribosomal RNA", at positions 524 to 776 of the family's 1533-position model. The record is from RNAcentral.
UACGUAGGGUGCAGGCGUUAAUCGGAAUUACUGGGCGUAAAGCGCGUGUAGGCGGCUCUUCAAGUCAGGCGCGAAAGCCCUGAGCUCAACUCAGGAACUGCGCUUGAUACUGUCGAGCUAGAGUGUGGAAGGGGCAAUCGGAAUUCCGUGUGUAGCGGUGAAAUGCGUAGAUAUACGGAGGAACACCAGAGGCGAAGGCGGAUUGCUGGGCCAACACUGACGCUGAGACGCGAAAGCCAGGGUAGCAAACGGG